ACCUAUAUUUUAUUAUAUUAUGUCUGGACAACAAAAUGAUUAAAAACGAUCUACAUAGUACCAUAUAAAUUAACCAUAGAUUCUAUUUUUCAGAUAAAUAACCUGGAGCGUCUAACGUUGGCCCAAUCGUUAAAUGGUAAUCAACAUUACUUUACCAGAAACUUCAAGUACGAUGAUCUUAAUAGUCAAGUCGAUCACCAUUCUUCAAUCAUGACACUCGCUACUUACUCCAGAUAUGACGAAUCUCAAAGACAUCACCGAUUAUUUCGCUUGCACCCUUGCUACGAUGAAAUCGUUCGAGAACAUCCACCUUACUCAGAUGCGAUAGUUAAAAGAAUCACGAUUUGUGGAUAAGGUCGAGAAACUUAAUCGAAACAAAUGUUUUAAAAGAAAAACUAACCACGCAUCCCGGGCGAAUCCUCAUAUUUUUCGCAAUGCCGCCCGUCGGGCUCGGGCCGCGUACUCUUGUUCCCUAAGUGCAGGAAAACUGCUAUCGUCGGAAGGUGACUUGUGGACGUGGUGCGCCUGGGCCAGGUGCUGAAGGUGGUGGUAAAAUCGUCCUGGUGGAGGAGGCAGUCCACAUAGUCAGAGGAAAUCGAGACACGAUGGUGGUGGGCUCCGAGGGGACGACGUUACGGAAAGCCCGUAACUUGACUACCUAGCGAUGGAACCGAUUUUAUUCUUUUCUGUUGGCUGACCACAGUUUGUUACAUGAAGAGCUCAGAAGGGACUUAAUCCCAUCGCUACGUUCGCUCUCCUUCUUCCUUGCCGGAGUCCACCUCCCACGAGCAGACUGGCGAUCUUACUUUAUACUAUACCACGAUGGGCUAUCGUUCCGGAGAAAGUGAUCGGGAACGCGAUCCGGUCGGGCGAGCCUGACGGUUUCGUUCUCUUGGUAUUUACGCGGCUCUGUCCAGCGAAGGCGAAGUUCACGGGCCCCACGGCUGGACCAGCAUCGUUUUUCCUUUCACAUAUCCUGUCAUCGUUGAUAAGCGCCGGAAGGCGUACGAUCGAUGUCACAUCAAAUUUUGCCACUUGAUUGAGGAGCAUAUAUUAAAGUAAGAAAAAGUUUCUCCAUCUGUAAAAGACUAAAAGGAAUUGGAUGUUUAAGAGCUGAAGAAAAAGGUGUUGCGAAUAAUAGAAAUAUAGAAAUAGAAAUUUGUAUCAUAAAUUAUAGAAUCUCCAGUUAUAUUCCUUAAUCCGUAAUUUCUUUUAAUAAGGAAAAGUACGUAUUCAUAAAAGUGUCGUAUAGAAAAUCGCGGAACUAAUUGUUGCUGCUAGGC
Bombus impatiens (common eastern bumble bee) is the source of this 1283-nucleotide long non-coding RNA. RefSeq lists it as uncharacterized. The transcript has 4 exons. Lineage: Eukaryota; Metazoa; Arthropoda; Insecta; Hymenoptera; Apidae. The record is from RefSeq and is a predicted model, not a curated record.